This is a long non-coding RNA of Mastomys coucha (southern multimammate mouse), 764 nucleotides long. RefSeq lists it as uncharacterized. NCBI's taxonomy places the organism in Eukaryota, Metazoa, Chordata, Mammalia, Rodentia, Muridae. The transcript has 4 exons. The record is from RefSeq and is a predicted model, not a curated record.
CUCUUGUGACACUACAUUGGUCACUCUUCUGGAGAUGUCUACUGUCUAGCAAUUUAGCUUUCUUUGCCUCUGCACAGAUAGCUCUUAUUGAUGCCUCAAGGAUGAGUCACAUCCAAGAGUCUUAUGUAGUUCAGUCUGAUCUCAAAUCACUAUCUAGCCAAGGACAACUUUGGACUUCUGAUCUUCCCCUGCCUCCCAAGUGAUCAAUUACAGGAAUGUGCUACCAUGCCAGAUUUAUGCCUUGGUUGGGAAAGAAACCCCGAACUUCAUCCAUGAUAGCUGUUCAUAGAAAUAUCUAAUUGGACAAGUAUUUCUAAAUGCUUACCAGGAGGUCCUUCUUCUCUGGCUGCUGAGACUAUGUGAGCUCUGCCAAAUCCUUCGACAUGGUCUUCUUCAGUUCUGUUUCCCUGUGUGCAUGUGCUGAGAAAUACCUGAAGACUACAGGGAGCUUUCCAAGAUCUGUAAAGUCUCUCUCUCUCUCUCUCUCUCUCUCUCUCUCUCUCUCUCUCUCUCUCUCUCUCUCUCUCUCUCUCUCUCGUGUGUGUGUGUCUGUCUGUCUGUAUGUAUGUAUGUAUGCCUGCCUGCCUCACUUCUCUUUGUGUUGGCCUCACCAAGAGCACUGUCAGAAUCUGUCUCUCCUCUUUCCAUCAAGCAUCCUUUCCUGUGUUUUCAGCUAAAACCUUUUGGGGGGAAAAAAAAGCAGCUGACCAUGCCCAGAAAGUGUUCCUUCCCCCUGUGUUUUAUGAAGUGGUGUUUAAUAGCUA